RNAcentral lists this ribosomal RNA (254 nucleotides) under uncultured bacterium. RNAcentral's name for it is "partial 16S ribosomal RNA". It matches the Rfam family "Bacterial small subunit ribosomal RNA", at positions 524 to 776 of the family's 1533-position model. The record is from RNAcentral.
UACGGGGGGGGCAAGCGUUGUUCGGAAUUAUUGGGCGUAAAGAGCUCGUAGGCGGUGUGUCGCGUCGGCCGUGAAAACUUGCAGCUUAACUGUGGGCGUGCGGUCGAUACGGGCAUCACUGGAGUUCGGCAGGGGAGACUGGAAUUCCUGGUGUAGCGGUGAAAUGCGCAGAUAUCAGGAGGAACACCGGUGGCGAAGGCGGGUCUCUGGGCCGAUACUGACGCUGAGGAGCGAAAGCGUGGGGAGCGAACAGG